This 204-nucleotide microRNA precursor is filed under the name Oryza glumipatula. RNAcentral's name for it is "MIR812 microRNA precursor family". It matches the Rfam family "MIR812 microRNA precursor family". The record is from Rfam by way of RNAcentral. Lineage: Eukaryota; Viridiplantae; Streptophyta; Magnoliopsida; Poales; Poaceae.
AAUAGAUGACGUCGUUGACUUUUUCUCACAUGUUUGACCAUUCGUCUUAUUCAAAAUAUUUACGUAAUAAUAAUUUAUUUUGUUAUAAGUUGUUUUAUCACUUAUAGUACUUUAAGUGUGAUUUAUAUCUUAUACAUUUAUAUAAAUUUUUUAAAUAAGACAAAUGGUCAAAUAUGUGAGAAAAAAUCAACGGCGUCGUCUAUU